Molecule: ribosomal RNA, 432 nt
Filed under: uncultured bacterium
Lineage: Bacteria
Description: partial 16S ribosomal RNA
Rfam family: Bacterial small subunit ribosomal RNA
Source: RNAcentral
ACGAACGCUGGCGGCAUGCCUAACACCUGCAGGUCGAACGAGACCUUCGGGUCUAGUGGCGCACGGGUGCGUAACGCGUGGGAACCUGCCCUUAGGUUCGGAAUAACUCCCCGAAAGGGGUGCUAAUACCGGAUAAUGUCUUCGGACCAAAGAUUUAUCGCCUUUGGAUGGGCCCGCGUUGGAUUAGCUAGUUGGUAGGGUAAAAGCCUACCAAGGCGACGAUCCAUAGCUGGUCUGAGAGGAUGAUCAGCCACACUGGGACUGAGACACGGCCCAGACUCCUACGGGAGGCAGCAGUGGGGAAUAUUGGACAAUGGGCGAAAGCCUGAUCCAGCAAUGCCGCGUGAGUGAUGAAGGCCUUAGGGUUGUAAAGCUCUUUUACCCGGGAUGAUAAUGACAGUACCGGGAGAAUAAGCUCCGGCUAACUCCGUG